This 301-nucleotide ribosomal RNA is filed under the name uncultured bacterium. RNAcentral describes it as "partial 16S ribosomal RNA". It matches the Rfam family "Bacterial small subunit ribosomal RNA", at positions 509 to 809 of the family's 1533-position model. The record is from RNAcentral.
CAGCAGCCGCGGUAAUACGAAGGGGGCUAGCGUUGUUCGGAAUCACUGGGCGUAAAGCGCACGUAGGCGGACUUUUAAGUCAGGGGUGAAAUCCCAAGGCUCAACCUUGGAACUGCCUUUGAUACUGGAAGUCUUGAGUUCGGGAGAGGUGAGUGGAACUGCGAGUGUAGAGGUGAAAUUCGUAGAUAUUCGCAAGAACACCAGUGGCGAAGGCGGCUCACUGGCCCGAUACUGACGCUGAGGUGCGAAAGCGUGGGGAGCAAACAGGAUUAGAUACCCCCGUAGUCCCUGUCUCUUAUAU